This is a long non-coding RNA of Eriocheir sinensis (Chinese mitten crab), 322 nucleotides long. RefSeq lists it as uncharacterized. The transcript is spliced from 3 exons. The record is from RefSeq and is a predicted model, not a curated record. Lineage: Eukaryota; Metazoa; Arthropoda; Malacostraca; Decapoda; Varunidae.
GACCCGUGAUAUUAAAUCCUUUUUAUCGUUUUCCGACAAAUUACGCGGUGCCAGCGAACCACAGUGCCAGGGAAGAAAGAAGAGGUGCCAGAGAUUACACAGUGUCAAUCCCAUCCCUGGAAAAGCUUAUAUCAUGCGGAAAAUUGGGUAUAUGUUGCAAGAACAGGAAGAAGAAAAAAAAGAACUACAUCUACAUCAUGGGUUAGGUAACGUACAGGUGUCCCCGUGCAUGCCAGUGGGCUCAGGUAAUGUGCCAUGUUACUUUUUUCAGCUUUUUCUGUGUUCUCGAUAAGGUGUGUGUGUCCGAGCGGCUAGUUCUGCU